This 796-nucleotide long non-coding RNA is filed under the name Homo sapiens (human). RNAcentral describes it as "non-protein coding lnc-LIMS3-1:11". The record is from RNAcentral. Lineage: Eukaryota; Metazoa; Chordata; Mammalia; Primates; Hominidae.
CGUGAGCCCAGAUCAGGCCACUACACUCCAGCCGGGGCAACAGAGCGCAACUCCGUCUCAAAACAAACAAACAAAACAAAACAAAAAAAACUUAUAGACAAGUACAAAAUGAGAAGAAAAAGUCCCUUUCCCUUCAUGCCUCUACUUCCUGCUGUAUUCUCAAAGGACCUUCUCCUGGCAGCUGCCUAUGUUUUGGAUGCCCAGUACAACAGAAAUGUUCCAUUUGAAACUCACCUCAGGCCAUCAGACGUUACUAUUUUUAUAACCACUAGACAACGCAGGUUGCCGCAUACUUCUUUAUUUGUGUAGACCUCGCUCUUGCCCUGUUUGAAGAGCCUGAGUUGCUUCCCCUGCCUUUCUUGGCCACCUCAAUAGCAGAAGUACUCUGCCUGACUGCAUACUUUGGCAGACUGGUACAUUUUGCAAAAGUCACUCCUCAAAUGGUUUUCUGGAAGGAUACAAAAGACAUCUGCACCAUGGUAACCACAGUGGCGAGUGUUCAUUGUAGUACCUGUAAGAGUUUAUGACCGAAGGCAGGAGCCAUGAAGAAAAAAGACUCAAUAGAUUUGCUUUUGAUGAAACAACAACACUUCCAUACAGUGAACGCCAUAAGCACAACUGCAAGCAAACCGCAAACUGAAGAACAAAUAGGGCAAAAUGUGGCAGUGCAGACAUUUCAGCAUAUCAAGAGCACUUCCAAAUUACAGGAAAAAAAAGAUAUCUCAAUAGAUAAUUUUGCUGAAGAUAAGUGAAGGCAACUCAUAAGGAAAAAAUAUGUAAAAUGGCCGAUAGGAAA